Molecule: ribosomal RNA, 1698 nt
Filed under: Salmonella enterica
Lineage: Bacteria; Pseudomonadati; Pseudomonadota; Gammaproteobacteria; Enterobacterales; Enterobacteriaceae
Also listed under: 1 other name
Description: partial 23S ribosomal RNA
Rfam family: Bacterial large subunit ribosomal RNA
Source: RNAcentral
AUUUAAAGAAAGCGUAAUAGCUCACUGGUCGAGUCGGCCUGCGCGGAAGAUGUAACGGGGCUAAACCAUGCACCGAAGCUGCGGCAGCGACACUGUGUGUUGUUGGGUAGGGGAGCGUUCUGUAAGCCUGUGAAGGUGUGUCGUGAGGCAUGCUGGAGGUAUCAGAAGUGCGAAUGCUGACAUAAGUAACGAUAAAGCGGGUGAAAAGCCCGCUCGCCGGAAGACCAAGGGUUCCUGUCCAACGUUAAUCGGGGCAGGGUGAGUCGACCCCUAAGGCGAGGCCGAAAGGCGUAGUCGAUGGGAAACGGGUUAAUAUUCCCGUACUUGGUGUUACUGCGAAGGGGGGACGGAGAAGGCUAUGUUGGCCGGGCGACGGUUGUCCCGGUUUAAGCGUGUAGGUGUGUGUUCCAGGUAAAUCCGGUUCACUUUAACACUGAGGCGUGACGACGAGGCACUACGGUGCUGAAGCAACAAAUGCCCUGCUUCCAGGAAAAGCCUCUAAGCAUCAGGUAACAUCAAAUCGUACCCCAAACCGACACAGGUGGUCAGGUAGAGAAUACCAAGGCGCUUGAGAGAACUCGGGUGAAGGAACUAGGCAAAAUGGUGCCGUAACUUCGGGAGAAGGCACGCUGACACGUAGGUGAAGUGAUUUACUCAUGGAGCUGAAGUCAGUCGAAGAUACCAGCUGGCUGCAACUGUUUAUUAAAAACACAGCACUGUGCAAACACGAAAGUGGACGUAUACGGUGUGACGCCUGCCCGGUGCCGGAAGGUUAAUUGAUGGGGUCAGCGCAAGCGAAGCUCCUGAUCGAAGCCCCGGUAAACGGCGGCCGUAACUAUAACGGUCCUAAGGUAGCGAAAUUCCUUGUCGGGUAAGUUCCGACCUGCACGAAUGGCGUAAUGAUGGCCAGGCUGUCUCCACCCGAGACUCAGUGAAAUUGAACUCGCUGUGAAGAUGCAGUGUACCCGCGGCAAGACGGAAAGACCCCGUGAACCUUUACUAUAGCUUGACACUGAACAUUGAGCCUUGAUGUGUAGGAUAGGUGGGAGGCUUUGAAGUGUGGACGCCAGUCUGCAUGGAGCCGACCUUGAAAUACCACCCUUUAAUGUUUGAUGUUCUAACGUGGACCCGUUACCCGGGUUGCGGACAGUGUCUGGUGGGUAGUUUGACUGGGGCGGUCUCCUCCUAAAGAGUAACGGAGGAGCACGAAGGUUGGCUAAUCCUGGUCGGACAUCAGGAGGUUAGUGCAAUGGCAUAAGCCAGCUUGACUGCGAGCGUGACGGCGCGAGCAGGUGCGAAAGCAGGUCAUAGUGAUCCGGUGGUUCUGAAUGGAAGGGCCAUCGCUCAACGGAUAAAAGGUACUCCGGGGAUAACAGGCUGAUACCGCCCAAGAGUUCAUAUCGACGGCGGUGUUUGGCACCUCGAUGUCGGCUCAUCACAUCCUGGGGCUGAAGUAGGUCCCAAGGGUAUGGCUGUUCGCCAUUUAAAGUGGUACGCGAGCUGGGUUUAGAACGUCGUGAGACAGUUCGGUCCCUAUCUGCCGUGGGCGCUGGAGAACUGAGGGGGGCUGCUCCUAGUACGAGAGGACCGGAGUGGACGCAUCACUGGUGUUCGGGUUGUCAUGCCAAUGGCACUGCCCGGUAGCUAAAUGCGGAAGAGAUAAGUGCUGAAAGCAUCUAAGCACGAAACUUGCCCCGA